This 406-nucleotide ribosomal RNA is filed under the name uncultured bacterium. RNAcentral describes it as "partial 16S ribosomal RNA". It matches the Rfam family "Bacterial small subunit ribosomal RNA", at positions 30 to 526 of the family's 1533-position model. The record is from RNAcentral.
AUUGAACGCUGGCGGCAGGCCUAACACAUGCAAGUCGAACGAGUGGCGGACGGGUGAGUAAUGUCUGUGAAUCUGCCUGAUGGAGGGGGAUAAGUACUGGACGCGGUAGCUAAUACCGCAUACCAUCAGAUGUGCCCAGAUGGGAUUAGCUUGUUGGUGGGGUAAAGGCGCACCAAGGCGACGAUCCGUAGCUGGUCUGAGAGGAUGACCAGCCACACUGGAACUGAGACACGGUCCAGACUCCUACGGGAGGCAGCAGUGGGGAAUAUUGGACAAUGGGCGCAAGCCUGAUGCAGCCAUGCCGCGUGUAUGAAGAAGGCCUUCGGGUUGUAAAGUACUUUCAGCGGGGAGGCGUUACCCGCAGAAGAAGCACCGGCUAACUCCGUGCCAGCAGCCGCGGUAAUUC